Molecule: ribosomal RNA, 693 nt
Filed under: uncultured Bacteroidales bacterium
Lineage: Bacteria; Pseudomonadati; Bacteroidota; Bacteroidia; Bacteroidales
Description: bacterial SSU rRNA
Rfam family: Bacterial small subunit ribosomal RNA
Source: RNAcentral
AACGCUAGCUACAGGCUUAACACAUGCAAGUCGAGGGGCAGCGGGGUUGAAGCUUGCUUCAACCGCCGGCGACCGGCGCACGGGUGAGUAACACGUAUCCAACCUGCCGAUAACUCCGGGAUAGCCUUUCGAAAGAAAGAUUAAUACCGGAUGGCAUAGUUUUCCCGCAUGGAAUAACUAUUAAAGAAUUUCGGUUAUCGAUGGGGAUGCGUUCCAUUAGGCAGUUGGCGGGGUAACGGCCCACCAAACCGACGAUGGAUAGGGGUUCUGAGAGGAAGGUCCCCCACAUUGGAACUGAGACACGGUCCAAACUCCUACGGGAGGCAGCAGUGAGGAAUAUUGGUCAAUGGACGAGAGUCUGAACCAGCCAAGUAGCGUGAAGGAUGACUGCCCUAUGGGUUGUAAACUUCUUUUAUACGGGAAUAAAGUUAGCCACGUGUGGUUUUUUGCAUGUACCGUAUGAGUAAGGAUCGGCUAACUCCGUGCCAGCAGCCGCGGUAAUACGGAGGAUCCGAGCGUUAUCCGGAUUUAUUGGGUUUAAAGGGAGCGUAGGCGGGGUAUUAAGUCAGUUGUGAAAGUUUGCGGCUCAACCGUAAAAUUGCAGUUGAUACUGGUAUCCUUGAGUGCAGCAGAGGUGGGCGGAAUUCGUGGUGUAGCGGUGAAAUGCUUAGAUAUCACGAAGAACUCCGAUUG